CUGCCAGACUCCUACGGGAGGCAGCAGUGAGGAAUAUUGGUCAAUGGCCGAGAGGCUGAACCAGCCAAGUCGCGUGAGGGAAGACGGCCCUACGGGUUGUAAACCUCUUUUGUCGGGGAGCAAAGCGAACCACGUGUGGUUCAUUGAGAGUACCCGAAGAAAAAGCAUCGGCUAACUCCGUGCCAGCAGCCGCGGUAAUACGGAGGAUGCGAGCGUUAUCCGGAUUUAUUGGGUUUAAAGGGUGCGUAGGGCGGACGGUUAGGUCAGGGGAAAAAGCCGGGGGCCCAACCCGGGCGAGCCGUUGAAACUGGCUGCCUUGAGAUGUCGAGAGGUAUGCGGAAUGCGCAGUGUAGCGGUGAAAUGCUUAGAUAUUGCGCAGAACUCCGAUUGCGAAGGCAGCAUACCGGCGGCGAUCUGACGCUGAGGCACGAAAGCGUGGGUAUCGAACAGGAUUAGAUACCCUGGUAC
This 468-nucleotide ribosomal RNA is filed under the name uncultured bacterium. RNAcentral's name for it is "bacterial SSU rRNA". It matches the Rfam family "Bacterial small subunit ribosomal RNA", at positions 328 to 793 of the family's 1533-position model. The record is from RNAcentral.